RNAcentral lists this long non-coding RNA (722 nucleotides) under Ursus maritimus (polar bear). RNAcentral's name for it is "lncRNA (ENSUMAG00000006608.1)". The record is from RNAcentral. Lineage: Eukaryota; Metazoa; Chordata; Mammalia; Carnivora; Ursidae.
UUUCUGGAAAAUUAACUUGGGAGCCAUCAGAGGUGAAAGAAAGGGACUGAAAAUAAGUCGCUCUGGUGUCAGGAGCAGAAUUUGCUUGCCUGAGACCCAGUGCCAAAGUCAAAGACCCGAUUCUUCUCCCACCCACGCUAACUUGGGAGUGAGGAAGUUUGUCAGUUAAACAGGUUCGUUUGGGUCGCGUUUCUCUCUUUGAAAUGCGGUGAGGACAGCUGACGCGCGCUCCCUGCUUUCUGAGCACUUACUGCUCUGAGCAACCCUGUGAAGGCAUAAAUCUUCCUUCCAGUGUUAACAGAAAAUCAAUCAUGACUCCGACGCCAUCCUUUUGGGGAGUUCCACGGAAGAGCUACCUUAUGAAUAGAUUCUGCGUCACCGCCCAGGAUGGAGAUCACCCUUGCCUUCUAGGUUCCAUGAAGAACAAAGUGCUUCAUGACAAGUUCAUGUCUGGUUUGGAAGCUUCCAGGGUGAGUGGGGAUUGUAUCUAAGAGCUCAGGGUUCCAGGUCUCUAGAUGGCCUCUUUGGGAUUGGGAAAUGGUAACUGUUGGUUCUGUGGGCUCUGAUGGCUGCUUGAGGGAGUUUGGUCUGGUAAUAUUGUAAGUUGGCAUCUUACAAAAAGUUCAUACCAAGAAGAGCAUCUCUCCCAAGCAAUAUGAAGCCACUCCUCAGAGAUUUUUCCCAGACCUGGGCUUUGAAUUGGGGUAGGGAGUGGGAGCAGG